RNAcentral lists this unclassified non-coding RNA (150 nucleotides) under Oryza sativa (Asian cultivated rice). Its description in RNAcentral is "precursor microRNA 160f3". The stretch from base 25 to 124 matches the Rfam family "mir-160 microRNA precursor family". Rfam says of the family: The hairpin precursors (represented here) are predicted based on base pairing and cross-species conservation -- their extents are not known. In this case the mature sequence is excised from the 5' arm of the hairpin. The record is from RNAcentral. Lineage: Eukaryota; Viridiplantae; Streptophyta; Magnoliopsida; Poales; Poaceae.
GUGAAGGUGAUGAAAAGGUAGGGGAUAUGCCUGGCUCCCUGUAUGCCGCUCGCAUGGCUGCCAACCCAAUGAACUCGAUCUCGUUGUUGGCCGCUGCGUACGGCGUGCGAGGUGCCAAGCAUGGCCCUCUUCCCUUCUCUCUUUCUCUCU